GUCGAACGAACUCUGGUAUUGAUUGGUGCUUGCAUCAUGAUUUACAUUUGAGUGAGUGGCGAACUGGUGAGUAACACGUGGGAAACCUGCCCAGAAGCGGGGGAUAACACCUGGAAACAGAUGCUAAUACCGCAUAACAACUUGGACCGCAUGGUCCGAGCUUGAAAGAUGGCUUCGGCUAUCACUUUUGGAUGGUCCCGCGGCGUAUUAGCUAGAUGGUGGGGUAACGGCUCACCAUGGCAAUGAUACGUAGCCGACCUGAGAGGGUAAUCGGCCACAUUGGGACUGAGACACGGCCCAAACUCCUACGGGAGGCAGCAGUAGGGAAUCUUCCACAAUGGACGAAAGUCUGAUGGAGCAACGCCGCGUGAGUGAAGAAGGGUUUCGGCUCGUAAAACUCUGUUGUUAAAGAAGAACAUAUCUGAGAGUAACUGUUCAGGUAUUGACGGUAUUUAACCAGAAAGCCACGGCUAACUACGUGCCAGCAGCCGCGGUAAUACGUAGGUGGCAAGCGUUGUCCGGAUUUAUUGGGCGUAAAGCGAGCGCAGGCGGUUUUUUAAGUCUGAUGUGAAAGCCUUCGGCUCAACCGAAGAAGUGCAUCGGAAACUGGGAAACUUGAGUGCAGAAGAGGACAGUGGAACUCCAUGUGUAGCGGUGAAAUGCGUAGAUAUAUGGAAGAACACCAGUGGCGAAGGCGGCUGUCUGGCUGUAACUGACGCUGAGGCUCGAA
This 730-nucleotide ribosomal RNA is filed under the name Lactiplantibacillus plantarum. RNAcentral's name for it is "bacterial SSU rRNA". It matches the Rfam family "Bacterial small subunit ribosomal RNA", at positions 61 to 757 of the family's 1533-position model. The record is from RNAcentral. Lineage: Bacteria; Bacillati; Bacillota; Bacilli; Lactobacillales; Lactobacillaceae.